UGGACUUCAUUGUGCUGGGAGACAGCUCCUUCUCCAGGCCCAGGAAAACAUUUCAGUGAAAGUCAAGCACUGUUUGGCAUUUUUCUUCUGAUUAAAAAUAGAGGAAUGGCAGUGCUUGCUCCUAUCAGCAUGAAACAGAUGUGGUUCUAAGAAACCAGUGUAUAACCCAUGGGACUCAACAACAAGUGUAUAACCCAAACCUCAAAGCCAUAGUCAGUAGAAAUACUUGGCGCUUAUGAUGGAGACACCUGGAAGCUUAUCUACACAACAGGCAUGAAUCAUCUGUUGAUAGACUAUGAAAGAAGUUAAAGUAACCAGUGCCCAAAAGUUUGUAAGUAUAAGCAUGAAAUUCAGUCAAGCCACUUAAUGUGAAGGCUAAAGAAUGAGUUAGUAAUUCUUAAGAAAAAAUAAAAAUAAACCAGGGCAAAAAGAUAAACUUUGUAAGUAAUAACACCUGCAAUUUAGAGAUCCCGAGAUGUAAGUUUCUGCCACUUAAAACCCUUUCUCCAAAGGGACUGUCUCUAUUCCCAUUAACCCACUUAGUAUAAAGCAUUUGUGAAAUAUCCAUAUUGU
RNAcentral lists this long non-coding RNA (573 nucleotides) under Mustela putorius furo (domestic ferret). RNAcentral describes it as "lncRNA (ENSMPUG00000031971.1)". Lineage: Eukaryota; Metazoa; Chordata; Mammalia; Carnivora; Mustelidae. The record is from RNAcentral.